Non-coding RNA from Cicer arietinum (chickpea), 400 nucleotides. Lineage: Eukaryota; Viridiplantae; Streptophyta; Magnoliopsida; Fabales; Fabaceae. The record is from RefSeq and is a predicted model, not a curated record.
AGAAACUAACUAACCCUUAGUUUCAUAUUAGAGCGACAUGCCUAUUGGGUGCUUCAAAACACCAACGGGUCGGGUACUCACCAAAGAAGAGCAAAAGAAAAAGAGAGAAAUGGAACAGAUCAAGAGAUUGGAAAAGAUAGCAGCCGAUAAGAGAGCAAGCGAUGCAAGGAGAAUCAAGAUUCGGGCUCUCCAAAGGGAAAUUAAAACUGGCAAAAGUGAUACACACGCAGAGAGGUACGAUUGAGGAUAUGAACCUGCACCACAACAUAAGUAUGUGAGUUGUCUUGUACCGGUCACUAGAUUUUUAGAAAUAAAAAAGAUACAUUAAUACAUCAACAAAAUUAUAUCAUUAUAUACUAAAAAGAUUAAAGACAACACAAUAUUUCUAAAUCAGAAUUAA